AUGACCAGCAUUGCUCUGUGUUUGCCCGCAGUGUUCCCCAUGGCCGGAGUUCCCUGCAAGGCCCUGGCCACCUCUCAGCUUUCUGGCUCUGACCUCCCCCGACUCCUGCAGCCUCCUGUCCCCAGAAAGGUGAGGCAGGAUGAGCACCUCCUGUCAGCCCUUUGGGGUGAGAGUGAAGAAAAGAGCUCCCAGCCCAGGCAUAGAGCAAAGGGCAGGGCUGAGGAUUGGUGGGGAAUGUAUGGGGUGAGGACAAGAGCAAGCUGUGUCCCAGGGCAGGCCUGGAGGAAGGGUGUUGGUGGAGGGAGACUGGCCAAAACGCUCUGCAGAGUCCUUGAACCUUUGCUCCUCCUCACAGGCUCUGUUCCUCACCGCCAUUUGCUCUGGACACCUUGGGGUGUAGCCCAGUUGAGGUCCAUCCGUCACCGACUGGCUUUGUAUGUGGCUCAGGAGGCCUCUAGGCAAGAGAACGAGGUUCCUAAGAACCCUGACUCAGGUGGUCCAGAAUUUUAAGGACAAAUCAUACUUUGUGGCUGUGGUGAAAAAAG
RNAcentral lists this long non-coding RNA (545 nucleotides) under Macaca nemestrina (pig-tailed macaque). Its description in RNAcentral is "lncRNA (ENSMNEG00000045914.1)". The record is from RNAcentral. Lineage: Eukaryota; Metazoa; Chordata; Mammalia; Primates; Cercopithecidae.